CUUCAGACUCCGCCCACCUCAGACUCACUCCUCAAAGAGAAGUCUUGUUCUGAAAUCUCGCGAGAUGUGAGUACCGGAAGCCAGCGGUGGAUGAGAGGACCAUGGAGGAAACAUUGUCUUUGGCACCGUGUAGCACUGCAUCACCAGGGACACUGCAAUACACGCUGGGACUGGCAAAUAACAGCAUGAACUCGGGGCUGAGGACAAUUUCAAGAUGAGCAGGCAGCAACGUGAAGGCCAAGUGAAGAUGAGUAAGAAGACGAAGGCAGUGACAGGUGAGGAGUGGACGAGCGAGGAAAAGAUGGCACACAAGCACCACCAGGAUCCCCGUGAACCAUCACUUGAAACAGGAAGUGAGCCUCAGUGAGAGGUCGGUGACUCUUCCAAAGCUAGAUGGCAGAAGAGCCCCACUGCAGCUGAGCUCAGCUUUGCUCCGUCAUCAUCCCAUCUUUGCAUUGCAAAUUGCCCGAGUCACCAUCACUCCCAAUAACAGCUCCGCUCCAUCUCCCAAAAUGAAAAUCAGAGUUAUGGUGGGAUUGCCUACCGGGAGAAUUUCUUUCAUCAGCUUUCGGGACGGGACGCCUGCCUGUCCGAGUGUCACCCUCCACCCCUCUCUCCAUCCUCUCCAUCUCCACCUCCACCCCUCUCUCCAUCCUCUACACCCUCCAACCUUUACUCCUUCUCCAUCUCCACCUUCACUCUCCACCUCCACCCUCACACACAUGCUGUCAUUAACAGAGUUCAUCUCUUUGCCAGGAUUUACAUUCUUCCCCAUAAAGAUUCACCUCCUCCUCUUCCUCCUCCUCCUCCUCUUCCUCUUCUUCCUCCUCCUCCUCCUCCUCUUCCUCCUCCUCCUCUUCCUCCUCCUCCUCCUCCUCUCUUGCCACCCACACCUCACUGUUCCCACUUCAUGAUUUGUUAGCCACACAUCAAGCACAUCAUACUUACACAGGAUGCUCUCUCCUCUCUCUCUCUCUCUCUCUCUCUCUCUCUCUCUCUCUCUCUCUGUCUCUCUUUCUCUCUCUCUCUCUCUCUGUCUCUCUUUCUCUACACCUCCCCUCCACCUCUA
This is a long non-coding RNA of Sebastes umbrosus (honeycomb rockfish), 1069 nucleotides long. RefSeq lists it as uncharacterized. Lineage: Eukaryota; Metazoa; Chordata; Actinopteri; Perciformes; Sebastidae. The transcript is spliced from 4 exons. The record is from RefSeq and is a predicted model, not a curated record.